UAGCGAAAUUCCUUGUCGGGUAAGUUCCGACCCGCACGAAAGGCGUAACGAGUGGGGCGCUGUCUCGACGGAGGGCCCGGUGAAACUGAAGUAGGAGUGAAGAUGCUUCUUACCCGCAGCAGGACAAAAAGACCCCGUGGAGCUUUACUGCAGCUUGAUAUUGGAUUAGGGCUUACUCUGUGUAGGAUAGGUGGGAGACUGCGAAGCUGGUUCGCCAGGAUCGGUGGAGUCGCUGGUGAAAUACCACCCUGAUUGAGUUUUGGUUCUAACCUGUGGCGUGACCCGGUAUGGGGACAGUGUCAGGUGGGCAGUUUGACUGGGGCGGUCGCCUCCCAAAAGGUAACGGAGGCGCGCAAAGGUUCCCUCAGGCUGAAUGGAAACCAGUUGCAGAGUGCAAACGCAAAAGGGAGCUUGACUGCGAGACGGACAUGUUGAGCAGAGACGAAAGUCGGCGUUAGUGAACCCACGGUUCUGAGUGGAAAGGCUGUGGCUUAACGGAUAAAAGCUACCCCGGGGAUAACAGGCUAGUCUUCCCCAAGAGUUCACAUCGACGGGAAGGUGCGGCACCUCGAUGUCGGCUCGUCACAUCCUGGGGCUGGAGCAAGUCCCAAGGGUUGGGCUGUCCGCCCAUUAAAGUGGCACGCGAGCUGGGUUCAGACCGUCGUGAGACAGGUCGGUCUCUAUCCGCUGUGGGCGCAAGGGAAUUGAGAGGAGCUGUCCCUAGUACGAGAGGACCGGGAUGGACAGACCGCUGGUGUGCCAGUUGUCGUGCCAACGGCAUAGCUGGGUAGCUAAGUCUGGGAAGGAUAACCACUGAAAGCAUCUAAGUGGGAAGCCAGCCUCAAGAUAAGUUCCCUCACAGAGAGAGUCUGGUAAGUGCGCUGGUAGACGACCAGUUUGAUAGGCGGGACGUGUAAGGGCUGAGAGGUCUUGAGCGAACCCGUACUAAUGCACGAGGGCUUAACCUG
RNAcentral lists this ribosomal RNA (968 nucleotides) under Gemmatimonadota bacterium. RNAcentral's name for it is "Gemmatimonadetes bacterium partial 23S ribosomal RNA". It matches the Rfam family "Bacterial large subunit ribosomal RNA", at positions 1957 to 2925 of the family's 2925-position model. Lineage: Bacteria; Pseudomonadati; Gemmatimonadota. The record is from RNAcentral.